GAUACCCUGGUAGUCCACGCCGUAAACGAUGUCUACUAGGAGGUGGUUCCCUUGAGGAGUGAGUUCCGCAGCUAACGCGAUAAGUAGACCGCCUGGGGAGUACGGUCGCAAGGUUAAAACUCAAAUGAAUUGACGGGGGCCCGCACAAGCGGUGGAGCAUGUGGUUUAAUUCGAUGCAACGCGAAGAACCUUACCUGGCCUUGACAUCCAGGGAACUUAGCAGAGAUGGAUUGGUGCCUUCGGGAAUUUUCAGACAGGUGCUGCAUGGCUGUCGUCAGCUCGUGUUGUGAAAUGUUGGGUUAAGUCCCGCAACGAGCGCAACCCUUUUCCUUUGUUGCCAGCAUUUCGGUUGGGAACUCAAAGGAGACUGCCAGUGAUAAACUGGAGGAAAGGUGGGGAUGACGUCAAGUCAUCAUGGCCCUUACGGCCAGGGCUACACACGUGCUACAAUGGCAUAUACAAAGAGAAGCGACCUCGCGAGAGCAAGCGGACCUCAAAAAAGUAUGUCGUAGUCCGGAUCGGAGUCUGCAACUCGACUCCAUGAAGUCGGAAUCGCUAGUAAUCCGGAUCAGAAUGCCACGGGAAUACGUUUCCCCGGCCCUGUACCACACCCCCCGCCACACCAUGGGAUUGGGUCCCCAAGAAAGUAGGUAACCUAAC
This 660-nucleotide ribosomal RNA is filed under the name bacterium sp. R2A-28. RNAcentral's name for it is "bacterial SSU rRNA". It matches the Rfam family "Bacterial small subunit ribosomal RNA", at positions 781 to 1439 of the family's 1533-position model. The record is from RNAcentral.